UGACGUGGCAGGUGGUGUUGGGUCACUGA
RNAcentral lists this non-coding RNA (29 nucleotides) under Rattus norvegicus (Norway rat). Lineage: Eukaryota; Metazoa; Chordata; Mammalia; Rodentia; Muridae. The record is from RNAcentral.